Molecule: ribosomal RNA, 447 nt
Filed under: uncultured bacterium
Lineage: Bacteria
Description: partial 16S ribosomal RNA
Rfam family: Bacterial small subunit ribosomal RNA
Source: RNAcentral
GACGAACGCUGGCGGCAAGCUUAACACAUGCAAGUCGAACGCCGUAGCAAUACGGAGCGGCAGACGGGUGAGUAACGCGUGGGAACGUGCCUUUCGGUUCGGAACAACUGAGGGAAACUUCAGCUAAAACCGGAUACGCCCUUCGGGGGAAAGUUUACGCCGAAAGAUCGGCCCGCGUUAGAUUAGCUAGUUGGUGGGGUAAUGGCCUACCAAGGCGACGAUCUAUAGCUGUUCUGAGAGGAAGAUCAGCCACACUGGGACUGAGACACGGCCCAGACUCCUACGGGAGGCAGCAGUGGGGAAUAUUGGACAAUGGGCGCAAGCCUGAUCCAGCUAUGCCGCGUGGAUGAAGAAGGCCUUAGGGUUGUAAAGUCCUUUCGUUGGUGAAGAUAAUGACGGUAACCAAGGAAGAAGCCCCGGCUAAUUUCGUGCCAGCAGCCGCAGUAA